This 667-nucleotide long non-coding RNA is filed under the name Homo sapiens (human). Its description in RNAcentral is "non-protein coding lnc-HEPACAM-2:5". The record is from RNAcentral. Lineage: Eukaryota; Metazoa; Chordata; Mammalia; Primates; Hominidae.
GGAGUCGCUGGGUAAUGCGCCAUGUGAGGCGCGGUGGGACUGUCGUUCCUGGACCAACGCCGAGACUUCCUAAAUCCCUCCGGAAAGGGAUGCGUUGGGCCUGUGAUCUGGCGACUAGGAGGGUCAGGAGUCCCAGUAGAGGGAAUCACGGGAAAAGAAUGAAAGAGGGAGGCGAGCCUGGCACGGCUUCCUGGAGAAACAAACUAAGCUAACAAAUUUUUCGGAUCCUUUGUGCAGCUAAUUUUACAGUACUGUUUCAUACAUCUUAUUAUAUUUGGACAUCACGGCCUGUUGAGUGGUCUCCCUCUCUGCUGCAAGCUCUGCUGUAAUCCAGAGACACUCAAUUAUCUCUGUAGGAUAAUUUAUUCAUUCGAUUAACAUACAUUACUACUAACUUUUUAUAAACCAGUACUGUUCCAAGCACCGGAGAUACAUAGCUAUGAACGAAACAAAUAUCCCUGCUCAGGGAAUUCACAAUAGAGUGAGGGGAAAUAAGCGAAUAAACAAUGAACUAUGGAAAUUAUGUUAGACAAAAAACAAAUGCAAGCAGUUUUCUUAUUCGAGUUCAAAAUGGGCUGCAAAGCAGCAGAGACAACUUGCAACAUCAAGAGUGCAUUUGGCCCAGGAACUGCUAAUGAACGUACAGUGCAGUGGUGGUUCAAGAAGU